Molecule: ribosomal RNA, 460 nt
Filed under: uncultured bacterium
Lineage: Bacteria
Description: partial 16S ribosomal RNA
Rfam family: Bacterial small subunit ribosomal RNA
Source: RNAcentral
CCUACGGGUGGCAGCAGUGAGGAAUAUUGGUCAAUGGACGAGAGUCUGAACCAGCCAAGUAGCGUGAAGGAUGACUGCCCUAUGGGUUGUAAACUUCUUUUAUAUGGGAAUAAAACGUUCCACGUGUGGGAUUUUGUAUGUACCAUAUGAAUAAGGAUCGGCUAACUCCGUGCCAGCAGCCGCGGUAAUAAGGAGGAUCCGAGCGUUAUCCGGAUUUAUUGGGUUUAAAGGGAGCGUAGGUGGAUUGUUAAGUCAGUUGUGAAAGUUUGCGGCUCAACCGUAAAAUUGCAUGUGAAACUGGCAGUCUUGAGUACAGUAGAGGUGGGCGGAAUUCGUGGUGUAGCGGUGAAAUGCUUAGAUAUCACGAAGAACUCCGAUUGCGAAGGCAGUUCACUGAACUGCAACUGACACUGAUGCUCGAAAGUGUGGGUAUCAAACAGGAUUAGAUACCCGAGUAGUC